RNAcentral lists this ribosomal RNA (387 nucleotides) under Chaetoceros sp. RNAcentral's name for it is "partial small subunit ribosomal RNA". It matches the Rfam family "Eukaryotic small subunit ribosomal RNA", at positions 582 to 975 of the family's 1831-position model. The record is from RNAcentral. Lineage: Eukaryota; Bacillariophyta; Thalassiosirophyceae; Chaetocerotales; Chaetocerotaceae.
AUUCCAGCUCCAAUAGCGUAUAUUUUAGUUGUUGCAGUUAAAAAGCUCGUAGUUGAAUUUCUGGUGGGAAGAUGCGGACGGCCUCAUGGCUUGUUCCAAGUCUUCCGGCCAUCCUUGGGUGGAGCUCGUCUGGCAUUAAGUUGUCGGGCGGGGGAUGCCCAUCGUUUACUGUGAAAAAAUUAAAGUGUUCAAAGCAGACUUAUGUCGUUGAAUAUAUUAGCAUGGAAUAAUAAGAUAGGACAGCAGUGCUAUUUUGUUGGUUUGCGCACCGUUGUAAUGAUGAAUAGGGACAGUUGUGGGUAUUUAUAUUCACUUGUAAGAGGUGAAAUUCUUAGAUUAAGGGAAGAUAAACUACUGCGAAAGCAUUUACCAAGGAUGUUUUCAUCA